This 424-nucleotide ribosomal RNA is filed under the name uncultured bacterium. RNAcentral's name for it is "bacterial SSU rRNA". It matches the Rfam family "Bacterial small subunit ribosomal RNA", at positions 355 to 771 of the family's 1533-position model. The record is from RNAcentral.
UGGGGAAUAUUGGACAAUGGGCGAAAGCCUGAUCCAGCAACGCCGCGUGGAGGAUGAAGGCCCUAGGGUUGUAAACUCCUGUCAGGUGGGACGAAAAGGCGUCGGCGAAUACCCGGCGUCCUCGACGGUACCACCGGAGGAAGCCCCGGCUCACUACGUGCCAGCAGCCGCGGUAACACGUAGGGGGCGAGCGUUAUUCGGAAUUAUUGGGCGUAAAGGGCGCGUAGGCGGCCAGACAAGUCAGGGGUGAAAUCCCUCGGCUCAACCGAGGAACUGCCUUUGAAACGGUCUGGCUUGAGGCCGGGAGAGGGUGGUGGAAUUCCUAGUGUAGCGGUGAAAUGCGUAGAUAUUGGGAGGAACACCAGUGGCGAAGGCGGCCACCUGGACCGGUUCUGACGCUGAGGCGCGAAAGUGUGGGGAGCAA